RNAcentral lists this small nucleolar RNA (89 nucleotides) under Salix viminalis (osier). It matches the Rfam family "Small nucleolar RNA U31b". The record is from RNAcentral. Lineage: Eukaryota; Viridiplantae; Streptophyta; Magnoliopsida; Malpighiales; Salicaceae.
GAAAAUGAUGAUAUUCAUUGUCGCCCCAGUCUUACAAGCAUCAAUUCUUGAUGCUGUAUGGUGAUCGACUAAACACACAUAUCUGAUUC